UCGUCCUCUGAGUACCGAACAGUUGGCAGGCUUUUCGGUGUAGCUCCAAACAGUGUGUGUAAUAUCCUGCACGAGUUUUGCAGAGCACUUAUCGACGAGUUUUCAAAGGAGUACAUGUCGCCCAAUUACCUAACUUCCGACAAAAUUUAUGAGUGCGUAAAGGGAUUCGAGGCAAUUGGGUUUCCUCAGUGCCUAGGUGCAAUUGAUGGAUGCCACAUCGAAAUAAAACCACCAGCACCUGAGGCAGUAGACCACCAUAACUAUAAGGGCUGGUAUUCCACAGUCUUGUUUGCCCUAGUGGAUUAUAGAUACAGAUUUACAUAUGUAUGUAAAUAUCGGCUCUGCAGGAAGGUGCAAUGACUCGAUGAUAUACCAGAAGUCAAGCCUUGCAAAACAUAUCGAAGCAUCGGCAUUACUCCAAGAGAAAGCCAAGGAAAUAAGCGGAGUAAACGUCCCUGUAAUGCUUAUCGGGGACUCGGCAUUUAGGUUUUCUAAAAAGCUGAUGAAACCUUACCCGUUUUCCACAGUCGCCUCUUUGGAACAGCGCACGUUUAACUACAACCUUUCCAAAGCUAGGCGAGUGGUGGAAAAUGCAUUUGGGCAUUUAAAAGCCAGAUUUCGAAUAAUCGGAAAAGGUCUUGAUAGCCACCACAAAAAUAAUAGCGCCAUAAUAAUGAGCUGUUGUAUUUUACACAAUAUAUUAAAUAUGCACAACAGCGCGAUUAAUGAAAAUUGGGAGCUUGCAACAAAUGAGCAGCGCGAACAGCCCGAUACCAGCAACAGUUCUGCUGACUUUAAUCAGUCAGCAGAACAGAUACGAUCUGCAAUCGCAAAAUAUUGUGUAGACCUUAAUGAAAAUUAAAAACUUAUUUUUUUUUAUUUUUUAAAACUUCUAAUAAGUCGUUCUGGAAUUUUGUUUGGGUGCUGAUCAAGUCCUGCACCAUCUUCUCCUGCCUAACGUCGUGCUCCUCCUUCUUUCUGUGGUGGUCCUUUUGUUGUUCGAGACGCUCCUGGGCGAUCUCUGCCAGCCACGAAAUGUCGGUCUUUUUCUUUUUCUUUGGCGGACGCCCCGGCAAGGGGCUGGAGCUGCAAGAUCCGUCCAGGUCCAUCUCAAUAAUAUCCGAAAAGUACUCAUCAGGAUCUGCAAUGAACACCUUAAAUGAAAUAUAUUUUUUUAGCAAUAAAUUAAUAAAACUUACUGUCGUUGUCCAAUGUGCUCUGCUCCAUGUUGUUUGCACUCAAGAUGCCAAA
Molecule: long non-coding RNA, 1251 nt
Organism: Drosophila miranda
Lineage: Eukaryota; Metazoa; Arthropoda; Insecta; Diptera; Drosophilidae
Exons: 3
Source: RefSeq, a predicted model, not a curated record